Molecule: microRNA precursor, 81 nt
Organism: Human herpesvirus 2 strain HG52
Lineage: Duplodnaviria; Heunggongvirae; Peploviricota; Herviviricetes; Herpesvirales; Orthoherpesviridae
Rfam family: mir-H3 microRNA precursor family
Source: Rfam
CGGCCGGCGCGCUCUCGACCGCGGUUCCCGAGUCGUACGCAGGGACCAUUUGGGAGUCUGCGGUUGGGAGCGCGCCGGGGC